Molecule: unclassified non-coding RNA, 406 nt
Filed under: Hevea brasiliensis (rubber tree)
Lineage: Eukaryota; Viridiplantae; Streptophyta; Magnoliopsida; Malpighiales; Euphorbiaceae
Source: RNAcentral
GGACCAGCUAGACCGAGAAGAACCUACAAAACAUACAUCACAUGUUAUUUAUCAAUAACAACAUAGUUUUCUUCCAAGUGGGCUUGUAAGUUGAAUCCAAAUCUUCAACCCACAAAAAUGAAUUCUCAACUCUUGAGUAUCCAACUACAAGUAAAUGAGAUGACUAGAAUUCAUAUGAUGCACUUUACCAUUAGUUCUGAAUUAAAACCUUAUUUUAAAAGGAUCACAUCCUUAACUGCAGAUAUUUACUAUGAUCCACAAAAAAUGCAUGUAAAAAGAAAAUUUUUGUAACAAAGCAGACAUCAAAAUUUUAACUAAUCAGAAGAAGAAUUGUCACAAUACUCAAUUGAUUUUUUUUUUGUUCAUACCCUUACAGCCAUCAUGGUCAGCCCGAUUAUAGUAGUUU